Molecule: long non-coding RNA, 345 nt
Filed under: Polistes fuscatus (common paper wasp)
Lineage: Eukaryota; Metazoa; Arthropoda; Insecta; Hymenoptera; Vespidae
Description: uncharacterized LOC122520669
Source: RNAcentral
UGUUAAUAAUUAAUAGUAAAAGGUAAUGUGAAAAAUGAUAUGUAGGAAAGGUUAUUAAUAUAUAGAAUAAUGAUUCUUUUUGCAGAUGUUAUUGUUACUUUUCACGUUGGAACGUGAGUAAAACGCAUUCCUGUAUAAACCAGCAUCGAACGAGAAAAAUCUGUUCUCGUUUAAAUGCAAAAAUAGAACUUGAUGGAAAUAAUGGUAUAUUAUAUAUCUUCGCAGAUUUCUAAACUCCGCUAUUAUUAUUCUCUUUCGUAGUUUCAACGAAAGCGUUCAUCAAAUCGACUAUCGUUAUAUUUAUUUUUCGUUAUGUUAAACAAUAAAUAACACGAAUAUCUAAAA